CCUACGGGUGGCAGCAGUGAGGAAUAUUGGUCAAUGGGCGUAAGCCUGAACCAGCCAAGUCGCGUGAGGGAUGAAGGUUCUAUGGAUCGUAACCCUCUUUUAUAAGGGAAUAAAGUGCGGGACGUGUCCCGUUUUGUAUGUACCUUAUGAAUAAGGAUCGGCUAACUCCGUGCCAGCAGCCGCGGUAAUACGGAGGAUCCGAGCGUUAUCCGGAUUUAUUGGGGUUAAAGGUUGCGUAGGUGGCCUUUUAAGUCAGAGGUGAAAGUCUGUGGCUCAACCAUAGAAUUGCCGUUGAAACUGGGAGGCUUGAGUAUGUUAGAGGAAGGCGGAAUGCUUGGGGUAGCGGUGAAAUGCGUAGAUAGCACGCAGAACCCC
This 375-nucleotide ribosomal RNA is filed under the name uncultured bacterium. RNAcentral's name for it is "partial 16S ribosomal RNA". It matches the Rfam family "Bacterial small subunit ribosomal RNA", at positions 338 to 710 of the family's 1533-position model. The record is from RNAcentral.